GCCGAAGUGGCGGAAUGGUAGACGCGGCGGUCUCAAAAACCGUUGGGAGUUAAAUCCCGUGUGGGUUCGAGUCCCUCCUUCGGCACCA
Molecule: transfer RNA, 88 nt
Filed under: Chloroflexota bacterium
Lineage: Bacteria; Bacillati; Chloroflexota
Also listed under: 2 other names
Description: tRNA-Leu
Rfam family: tRNA
About the family: Transfer RNA (tRNA) molecules are approximately 80 nucleotides in length.
Source: RNAcentral